CCUACGGGUGGCAGCAGUGAGGAAUAUUGGUCAAUGGGCGCGAGCCUGAACCAGCCAAGUAGCGUGAAGGAUGACUGCCCUACGGGUUGUAAACUUCUUUUAUAAAGGAAUAAAGUGAGGCACGUGUGCCUUUUUGUAUGUAUUUUAUGAAUAAGGAUCGGCUAAAUCCGUGCCAGCAGCCGCGGUAAUAAGGAGGAUCCGAGCGUUAUCCGGAGUUAUUGGGUUUAAAGGGAGCGUAGAUGGGUUGGUAAGUCAGGUGUGAAAGUUUGCGGCUUAACCGUAAAAUUGCAGUUGAUACUGGCGGCCUUGAGUAGAGUUGAGGUAGGCGGAAUUCGUGGUGUAGCGGUGAAAUGCUUAGAUAUCAUGAAGAACUCCGAUUGCGAAGGCAGCCUACUAAACUGCCACUGACAUUGAUGCUCGAAAGUGUGGGUAUCAAACAGGAUUAGAUACCCUAGUAGUC
Molecule: ribosomal RNA, 460 nt
Filed under: uncultured bacterium
Lineage: Bacteria
Description: partial 16S ribosomal RNA
Rfam family: Bacterial small subunit ribosomal RNA
Source: RNAcentral